This 87-nucleotide transfer RNA is filed under the name bacterium. Its description in RNAcentral is "tRNA-Leu". It matches the Rfam family "tRNA". Rfam says of the family: Transfer RNA (tRNA) molecules are approximately 80 nucleotides in length. Their secondary structure includes four short double-helical elements and three loops (D, anti-codon, and T loops). Further hydrogen bonds mediate the characteristic L-shaped molecular structure. tRNAs have two regions of fundamental functional importance: the anti-codon, which is responsible for specific mRNA codon recognition, and the 3' end, to which the tRNAs corresponding amino acid is attached (by aminoacyl-tRNA synthetases). tRNAs cope with the degeneracy of the genetic code in two manners: having more than one tRNA (with a specific anti-codon) for a particular amino acid; and 'wobble' base-pairing, i.e. permitting non-standard base-pairing at the 3rd anti-codon position. The record is from RNAcentral. RNAcentral also lists the same sequence under 1 other name.
GCCCAGGUGGCGGAAUUGGUAGACGCGCUAGCUUCAGGUGCUAGUGCCCUUUUGGGCGUGGAAGUUCGAGUCUUCUCCUGGGCACCA